RNAcentral lists this ribosomal RNA (549 nucleotides) under uncultured bacterium. RNAcentral's name for it is "bacterial SSU rRNA". It matches the Rfam family "Bacterial small subunit ribosomal RNA", at positions 355 to 895 of the family's 1533-position model. The record is from RNAcentral.
UAGGGAAUCUUCCACAAUGGGCGCAAGCCUGAUGGAGCAGCACCGCGUGAGUGAAGAAGGGUUUCGGCUCGUAAAGCUCUGUUGUUAAAGAAGAACACGUAUGAGAGUAACUGUUCAUACGUUGACGGUAUUUAACCAGAAAGUCACGGCUAACUACGUGCCAGCAGCCGCGGUAAUACGUAGGUGGCAAGCGUUAUCCGGAUUUAUUGGGCGUAAAGAGAGUGCAGGCGGUUUUCUAAGUCUGAUGUGAAAGCCUUCGGCUUAACCGGAGAAGUGCAUCGGAAACUGGAUAACUUGAGUGCAGAAGAGGGUAGUGGAACUCCAUGUGUAGCGGUGGAAUGCGUAGAUAUAUGGAAGAACACCAGUGGCGAAGGCGGCUACCUGGUCUGCAACUGACGCUGAGACUCGAAAGCAUGGGUAGCGAACAGGAUUAGAUACCCUGGUAGUCCAUGCCGUAAACGAUGAGUGCUAGGUGUUGGAGGGUUUCCGCCCUUCAGUGCCGGAGCUAACGCAUUAAGCACUCCGCCUGGGGAGUACGACCGCAAGGNU